This is a non-coding RNA of Cinara cedri, 223 nucleotides long. The record is from the annotation of a GenBank genome assembly. NCBI's taxonomy places the organism in Eukaryota, Metazoa, Arthropoda, Insecta, Hemiptera, Aphididae.
AAAAAAACGAAAACAUACGUUCACACUGGAAUGAAGUUGCGGCGCAAAAAAUCCAUGGUCCACGGAUCGUGUGUGUGAAAUGCGCCGAAAAUAUUUGUGUGCGCUCUUAUGCGGCGAACACGCAGAUAUUUAGUGCCGUACGAACAAAUUUUCGCCGAGUACGACGCACAACGUAAAUUUUUACUAGUGUGGACGCGGCUUAAGAAAUACGCGAAAGUUUACG